Molecule: ribosomal RNA, 460 nt
Filed under: uncultured bacterium
Lineage: Bacteria
Description: partial 16S ribosomal RNA
Rfam family: Bacterial small subunit ribosomal RNA
Source: RNAcentral
CCUACGGGAGACAGCAGUGAGGAAUAUUGGUCAAUGGGCGAGAGCCUGAACCAGCCAAGUCGCGUGAAGGAUGACGGCCCUACGGGUUGUAAACUUCUUUUGUCAGGGAGCAAUUGGGUCCACGCGUGGGCUUAGCGAGAGUACCUGAAGAAAAAGCAUCGGCUAACUCCGUGCCAGCAGCCGCGGUAAUACGGAGGAUGCGAGCGUUAUCCGGAUUUAUUGGGUUUAAAGGGUGCGUAGGCGGAAUAUCAAGUCAGCGGUAAAAAUUCGGGGCUCAACCCCGUCGUGCCGUUGAAACUGAUGUUCUUGAGUGGGCGAGAAGUAUGCGGAAUGCGUGGUGUAGCGGUGAAAUGCAUAGAUAUCACGCAGAACUCCGAUUGCGAAGGCAGCAUACCGGCGCCCGACUGACGCUGAGGCACGAAAGCGUGGGGAUCGAACAGGAUUAGAUACCCCAGUAGUC